RNAcentral lists this ribosomal RNA (255 nucleotides) under uncultured bacterium. RNAcentral describes it as "partial 16S ribosomal RNA". It matches the Rfam family "Bacterial small subunit ribosomal RNA", at positions 524 to 776 of the family's 1533-position model. The record is from RNAcentral.
UACGGGGGGGAGCAAGCGUUGUUCGGAUUUACUGGGCGUAAAGGGCGCGUAGGCGGCCACCGCAAGUCGACUGUGAAAUCUCCGGGCUUAACUCGGAACGGUCAAGUGAUACUGUCGGACUAGAGUACAGAAGGGGCAACUGGAAUUCUCGGUGUAGCGGUGAAAUGCGUAGAUAUCGAGAGGAACACCUGCGGCGAAGGCGGGUUGCUGGGCUGAUACUGACGCUGAGGCGCGAAAGCCAGGGGAGCGAACGGG